UACGUAGGGGGCUAGCGUUGUCCGGAAUCAUUGGGCGUAAAGCGUGUGUAGGCGGGUCGUUAAGUGCCUUGUGAAAUCCCACAGCUCACCUGUGGAACUGCUUGGCAUACUGGCGAUCUUGAGCCACUUAGGGGCAACCGGAACAAACGGUGGAGCGGUGAAAUGCGUAGAUAUCGUUUGGAACGCCAAAGGUGAAAACAGACAGCUGGGAGUGUGCUGACGCUGAGACACGAAAGCCAGGGGAGCGAACGGG
This 253-nucleotide ribosomal RNA is filed under the name uncultured bacterium. Its description in RNAcentral is "partial 16S ribosomal RNA". It matches the Rfam family "Bacterial small subunit ribosomal RNA", at positions 524 to 776 of the family's 1533-position model. The record is from RNAcentral.